Molecule: long non-coding RNA, 555 nt
Filed under: Medicago truncatula (barrel medic)
Lineage: Eukaryota; Viridiplantae; Streptophyta; Magnoliopsida; Fabales; Fabaceae
Description: long non-coding RNA (MTRU_LNC007620)
Source: RNAcentral
ACAUAAUUUUGUUCCUUUGAGCAAUGAUCUUCUCAACACUAGGAGGGAUGUAGAUUGAGGACCUUAUUGAAGCUAACGAGGUUUGUGUUGGAGGUUUUAGUCUUUUUGACAGUUUAGGUUUCGUCUGAUUGCAUAUUGAUAAUAAAAUUAAAUUUGAAAGGAUGACUAAGUCCAACUUUGUGUUGCUUUUACAAGCCAUCUGGUUUAACAAUUAAGUUAUGCUUCAUGUUUGAUUCAAAAUUUCCAAUUGGUUUUAUUCCUUACCAAUGUAGGUGUGAAUCGGAGUAAUGAAGCACAAUAUUAAGGUGAUAGUUUCCGCUAAUGUAAAAUGGCUUGGAGCAAGAUAAUAACGCAAUGAACAUGGUAGCUUAAUGUUGGAGAUGAAAAGAAGACCGAGUUUUAAUGAAGUAAAAGCCUUACAAAAGAGCUUUAAGUUGAACAAGCUAGAUCAAACGUGAUAUUAGAGAUUUUGAUGUUUUUAAGUUUGAGUAUAGUAAUAUCAAUCACUUUGAUUGCACAAAUAAAUAACCCAUUUGAAAUCCUUUUUAUUUUCUU